Molecule: ribosomal RNA, 1122 nt
Filed under: Klebsiella pneumoniae
Lineage: Bacteria; Pseudomonadati; Pseudomonadota; Gammaproteobacteria; Enterobacterales; Enterobacteriaceae
Description: bacterial SSU rRNA
Rfam family: Bacterial small subunit ribosomal RNA
Source: RNAcentral
UGCAGUCGAGCGGUAGCACAGAGAGCUUGCUCUCGGGUGACGAGCGGCGGACGGGUGAGUAAUGUCUGGGAAACUGCCUGAUGGAGGGGGAUAACUACUGGAAACGGUAGCUAAUACCGCAUAAUGUCGCAAGACCAAAGUGGGGGACCUUCGGGCCUCAUGCCAUCAGAUGUGCCCAGAUGGGAUUAGCUAGUAGGUGGGGUAACGGCUCACCUAGGCGACGAUCCCUAGCUGGUCUGAGAGGAUGACCAGCCACACUGGAACUGAGACACGGUCCAGACUCCUACGGGAGGCAGCAGUGGGGAAUAUUGCACAAUGGGCGCAAGCCUGAUGCAGCCAUGCCGCGUGUGUGAAGAAGGCCUUCGGGUUGUAAAGCACUUUCAGCGGGGAGGAAGGCGAUAAGGUUAAUAACCUUGUCGAUUGACGUUACCCGCAGAAGAAGCACCGGCUAACUCCGUGCCAGCAGCCGCGGUAAUACGGAGGGUGCAAGCGUUAAUCGGAAUUACUGGGCGUAAAGCGCACGCAGGCGGUCUGUCAAGUCGGAUGUGAAAUCCCCGGGCUCAACCUGGGAACUGCAUUCGAAACUGGCAGGCUAGAGUCUUGUAGAGGGGGGUAGAAUUCCAGGUGUAGCGGUGAAAUGCGUAGAGAUCUGGAGGAAUACCGGUGGCGAAGGCGGCCCCCUGGACAAAGACUGACGCUCAGGUGCGAAAGCGUGGGGAGCAAACAGGAUUAGAUACCCUGGUAGUCCACGCCGUAAACGAUGUCGAUUUGGAGGUUGUGCCCUUGAGGCGUGGCUUCCGGAGCUAACGCGUUAAAUCGACCGCCUGGGGAGUACGGCCGCAAGGUUAAAACUCAAAUGAAUUGACGGGGGCCCGCACAAGCGGUGGAGCAUGUGGUUUAAUUCGAUGCAACGCGAAGAACCUUACCUGGUCUUGACAUCCACAGAACUUAGCAGAGAUGCUUUGGUGCCUUCGGGAACUGUGAGACAGGUGCUGCAUGGCUGUCGUCAGCUCGUGUUGUGAAAUGUUGGGUUAAGUCCCGCAACGAGCGCAACCCUUAUCCUUUGUUGCCAGCGGUUAGGCCGGGAACUCAAAGGAGACUGCCAGUGAUAAACUGGAGGAA